CGAGAAGUGGACUGCACUAGAAGCCGGUGAGCCAACCGCAAGGAGGCAGCCGUCCAAGGUAUGGUUCAUGAUUGGGGUG
RNAcentral lists this ribosomal RNA (79 nucleotides) under uncultured bacterium. Its description in RNAcentral is "partial 16S ribosomal RNA". The record is from RNAcentral.